Molecule: ribosomal RNA, 1757 nt
Filed under: marine metagenome
Description: bacterial LSU rRNA
Rfam family: Bacterial large subunit ribosomal RNA
Source: RNAcentral
CCCUAACCUCCAGCUAAGGCCCCUAAUUCAUGGCUAAGUGGGAAAGCAGGUGAGACGGCCAAAACAACCAGGAGGUUGGCUUAGAAGCAGCCAUCCUUUAAGAUAGCGUAACAGCUCACUGGUCUAAAUAAGCUGUCUUGCGGCGAAGAUGUAACGGGGCUCAAGCCAUGAGCCGAAGCUGAGGACAUCGUAAGAUGUGGUAGCGGAGCGUAGUGUGAUAUAGCACCACUCCUCUUUAGUAUCCCGUGAGGGGUGCGUUAGAGGAAUAGGUGUUUUCUGUGAAGCCGGGCUGUAAGGCAUCCGGUGGAGAGAUCACUAGUGAGAAUGAUGACAUGAGUAGCGACAAAGAGUGUGAGAGACACUCUCGCCGAAAAUCCAAGGGUUCCUGCUUAAAGCUAAUCUGAGCAGGGUAAGCCGGCCCCUAAGUCGAGGCAGAAAUGCGUAGACGAUGGGAACCAGGUUAAUAUUCCUGGGCCAGGAGGAUGUGACGGAUCGUGAAGGUAGUUCACUCUUAUUGGAUUGAGUGGGCUGCUGAUCGGUUCCUGGAAAUAGCCCUCCAUCAGACCGUACCCUAAACCGACACAGGUGGAUAGGUAGAGCAUACCAAGGCGCUUGAGAGAACUAUGUUGAAGGAACUCGGCAAAAUACCUCCGUAAGUUCGCGAGAAGGAGGCCCAGUUUCUACGCAAGUAUUGGCUGGGGGCACAAACCAGGGGGUGGCGACUGUUUACUAAAAACACAGGGCUCUGCGAAGUCGCAAGACGACGUAUAGGGUCUGACGCCUGCCCGGUGCCUGAAGGUUAAAAGGAGGGGUGAGAGCUCCGAAUUGAAGCCCAGGUAAACGGCGGCCGUAACUAUAACGGUCCUAAGGUAGCGAAAUUCCUUGUCGGGUAAGUUCCGACCUGCACGAAUGGCGUAACGACUUCCCCGCUGUCUCCAACAUAGACUCAGCGAAAUUGAAUUGCCUGUCAAGAUGCAGGCUUCCCGCGGUUAGACGGAAAGACCCCGUGCACCUUCACUACAGCUUCGCACUGGCAUCAGGCACAACAUGUGCAGGAUAGGUGGUGGGCUUUGAAACAGGGACGCCAGUUCCUGUGGAGCCACCCUUGAGAUACCACCCUUGUUCUGCUUGAUGUCUAACCGCGGUCCGUUAUCCGGAUCCGGGACCCUGCGUGGCGGGUAGUUUGACUGGGGCGGUCGCCUCCUAAAGCGUAACGGAGGCGCGCGAAGGUUGGCUCAGAGCGGUCGGAAAUCGCUCGUUGAGUGCAAUGGCAUAAGCCAGCCUGACUGCGAGACUGACAAGUCGAGCAGAGACGAAAGUCGGCCAUAGUGAUCCGGUGGUCCCAAGUGGGAGGGCCAUCGCUCAACGGAUAAAAGGUACGCCGGGGAUAACAGGCUGAUACUGCCCAAGAGUCCAUAUCGACGGCAGUGUUUGGCACCUCGAUGUCGGCUCAUCUCAUCCUGGGGCUGGAGCAGGUCCCAAGGGUAUGGCUGUUCGCCAUUUAAAGAGGUACGUGAGCUGGGUUUAGAACGUCGUGAGACAGUUCGGUCCCUAUCUGCCGUGGGUGUAGGAUACUUGAGAGGAGUUGCCCCUAGUACGAGAGGACCGGGGUGAACGAUCCACUGGUGGACCUGUUGUGGCGCCAGCCGCAGUGCAGGGUAGCUAUGAUCGGACAGGAUAACCGCUGAAGGCAUCUAAGCGGGAAGCCCCCCUCAAAACAAGGUAUCCCUGAGGGCCGUGGAAGACCACCACGUCGA